GAGCACUUGUGGUCUCAGCUACUCGGGAGGCUGAGGCAGGAAGAUCGCUUGAGCCCAGAAGGUCGCUGCUGCAGUAAACCGUGAUCACGUCACAGCACUCCAGCCUGGGCUACAAAAAAAAAGAAAAAGGGCCGGGUGCGGUGGCUCACGCCUGUAAUCUCAACAUUUUGGGAGGCCGAGGCAGGUGUAUCACUUGAAGUCGGUAAUUCGAGACCAGCCUGGCCAACAUGGAGGAACCCCGUCUCUACUAAAGAGGAAAUUACGCAUGGUGGCGCAAGCCUGUAAUCCCAGCUACUCCGGAGGCUGAGAGGCAGGAGAAUCGCUUGAUUCUCGAGUUACAGUGAGCCGAGAUCGGGCGAUUGCCCUCCAGCCUGGGCAACAAGAGCGAAACAACGUCUCAAAAAAAAAAAAAAAGAAAAGGGAAAAAAGAAAAAGGGGCCUCCAGAAGGAAGUCAUCUGCUCCCUGCUGUGGAGGCUGCAUCUAACGCUUGUACCGGGGCAGUCAUAUGACAAGUAAGCGAUGUCAGGGCAGGCUCAGGCAUUCUAGAAGAGAGGAAGAAAAGAAGGCAACAGGAACUAGGAGAGAGAAGGACGUGGACAGGAGGAGGUGUUUGACUAGAAGUGCGUCCAACCAGGCCGGGCACAGUGGCUUACGCCUGUAAUCCCAGCACUUUGAGAGGCCGAGGCGGGCGGAUCACCUGAGGUCAGGAGUUCGGGACCAGCCUGGCCAACAUGGUGAAACCCCGUCUACUAAAAAUACAAAAAUUAGCUGGGCGUGGUGGUGCACGCCUGUAGUCCCAGCUACUCGGGAGGCUGAAGCACGAGAAUCGCUUGAACCUGGGAGGCGCAGGUUGCAGUGAGCCAAGAUCGCGCCAUUGCAUUGCAGCCUGGGUGACAGAGCGAGACUCUGUCUCAAAAAAAAAAAAAAAAAAAAAAGGUCCAACGGCUCUCCAUUGCCCCCAAACAUCCCUCACGUGACAACAGUGCCACAAGUUUCCCUGCCCCUGGGUCUGCAGCCAAUUUUAUUUUAUCAGUUGAGAAUCAUGUCAGAAAAUUAAAUACUCAAAAGAAAUCUCAAGAUUUCCCAGCUCUGAGGUUCUGACAGCUGAACUUGGCC
This 1117-nucleotide long non-coding RNA is filed under the name Pan troglodytes (chimpanzee). RNAcentral's name for it is "long non-coding RNA NONPTRT006384". Lineage: Eukaryota; Metazoa; Chordata; Mammalia; Primates; Hominidae. The record is from RNAcentral.